RNAcentral lists this long non-coding RNA (732 nucleotides) under Coturnix japonica (Japanese quail). RNAcentral's name for it is "lncRNA (ENSCJPG00005017628.1)". Lineage: Eukaryota; Metazoa; Chordata; Aves; Galliformes; Phasianidae. The record is from RNAcentral.
GUUAAAUUUUGCAUUCACAGACUUCAGCUCUGUGGCUCCUGUUGUGUUUGAGCUCUCAGCUAUGACUGUUUCCUUUGAUUUGUAUUCUGAAAUCUUUUUUAUCCUAAUGCAGGUUAGAAGAUGUAACAGAUAAGCAUAAUUAAAGAAACAGAAGACUUACAUGUUUUGACAAGGAGUGGCAGAAGUACUGAACCCUUCUUCUCCAACAGCAAUGGGAGGCCAAAAGCUCAGAAAGACUUGAGGAGAUGGCACGGUGACAGAGCCUGGGAUCACCAUGAGAGGCAGCACUACCUGGCAGCACCAAAACAUACUGCUUUGCUCUUGCUUCCUCUAAAGCAAUUUUCAUCUGCAGUAGAAGAGCUGGAAAGAUGAAGGGGGGAAAAAAAUAAUACUAAAAUCAGGACACUUGCAUAUCAGCUAAGCUUUGUUUGUUCUUUCUCAUUUGCAUUCUUUCCCCCAGUGGUUCAACACUGAUAUUUAGUUGCCUGUUCCCUUAGGGAUGAGGCUCCCAAAGGCUUCUCACCUGCCAGUGUCACCUUACAGUCCCAACCUGUACCUCUACUAAUCUGAGAUGCUUUUAAAAUGUUUUUGAAGGGAUCAGCAGCCACUCAAGCCACACCUUUCAUAUACACUGUAUUCUUAUCCAUUCACAUUUCAGCUUCAUCCUUGGAGAGAAGAAAUAUUUGUUAGCUCAAAAACUAUACAUACACAUAUACGUAUGCAAGCAGUCAA